AUGAACGCUGGCGGCGUGCCUAAUCCAUGCAAGUCGCGCGAACAGACGAGGAGCUUGCUCCUCUGACGUUAGCGGCGGACGGGUGAGUAACACGUGGAUAACCUACCUAUAAGACUGGGAUAACUUCGGGAAACCGGAGCUAAUACCGGAUAAUAUAUUGAACCGCAUGGUUCAAUAGUGAAAGACGGUUUUGCUGUCACUUAUAGAUGGAUCCGCGCCGCAUUAGCUAGUUGGUAAGGUAACGGCUUACCAAGGCAACGAUGCGUAGCCGACCUGAGAGGGUGAUCGGCCACACUGGAACUGAGACACGGUCCAGACUCCUACGGGAGGCAGCAGUAGGGAAUCUUCCGCAAUGGGCGAAAGCCUGACGGAGCAACGCCGCGUGAGUGAUGAAGGUCUUCGGAUCGUAAAACUCUGUUAUUAGGGAAGAACAAAUGUGUAAGUAACUAUGCACGUCUUGACGGUACCUAAUCAGAAAGCCACGGCUAACUACGUG
Molecule: ribosomal RNA, 496 nt
Filed under: uncultured bacterium
Lineage: Bacteria
Description: partial 16S ribosomal RNA
Rfam family: Bacterial small subunit ribosomal RNA
Source: RNAcentral